GAUGAACGCUGGCGGCGUGCCUAAUACAUGCAAGUCGAGCGAACAGACGAGGAGCUUGCUCCUCUGACGUUAGCGGCGGACGGGUGAGUAACACGUGGAUAACCUACCUAUAAGACUGGGAUAACUUCGGGAAACCGGAGCUAAUACCGGAUAACAUGUUGAACCGCAUGGUUCAACAGUGAAAGACGGUCUUGCUGUCACUUAUAGAUGGAUCCGCGCCGCAUUAGCUAGUUGGUAAGGUAACGGCUUACCAAGGCAACGAUGCGUAGCCGACCUGAGAGGGUGAUCGGCCACACUGGAACUGAGACACGGUCCAGACUCCUACGGGAGGCAGCAGUAGGGAAUCUUCCGCGAUGGGCGAGAGCCUGACGGAGCAACGCCGCGUGAGUGAAGAAGGUCUUCGGAUCGUAAAACUCUGUUAUUAGGGAAGAACAAAUGUGUAAGUAACUAUGCACGUCUUGACGGUACCUAAUCAGAAAGCCACGGCUAACUACGUG
RNAcentral lists this ribosomal RNA (497 nucleotides) under uncultured bacterium. Its description in RNAcentral is "partial 16S ribosomal RNA". It matches the Rfam family "Bacterial small subunit ribosomal RNA", at positions 28 to 507 of the family's 1533-position model. The record is from RNAcentral.